ACUCAAAGUAGGCGUACAAAUCUUGCCCAAGGCAUUUCCCUGGACGUAAGCGAUGAUCCGAAAGGUAGCGACCAAAUGAGUAUGGAACAGGGCCAACUUCUGCCUGCAGCAGAGGCUCUGAACCA
This 125-nucleotide non-coding RNA is filed under the name unclassified sequences. The record is from Rfam.